Molecule: transfer RNA, 74 nt
Filed under: Anaerolineae bacterium
Lineage: Bacteria; Bacillati; Chloroflexota; Anaerolineae
Also listed under: 2 other names
Description: tRNA-Gly
Rfam family: tRNA
About the family: Transfer RNA (tRNA) molecules are approximately 80 nucleotides in length.
Source: RNAcentral
GCGGGUAUGGUGAAACGGUAUCACAUUUGCUUCCCAAGCAAAGAGUACGGGUUCGAUUCCCGUUACCCGCUCCA